This 448-nucleotide ribosomal RNA is filed under the name uncultured bacterium. Its description in RNAcentral is "bacterial SSU rRNA". It matches the Rfam family "Bacterial small subunit ribosomal RNA", at positions 28 to 507 of the family's 1533-position model. The record is from RNAcentral.
GACGAACGCUGGCGGCGUGCCUAACACAUGCAAGUCAGGGGUAGCAAUACCACCGGCGCACGGGUGAGUAACGCGUAGAUAAUCUGCCUCUAUCUCCGGCAUAACCUCGAGAAAUCGGUGCUAAUACCGGAUGAGGUGCUUCGGCAUCAAAGGCAACGGAUAGAGAUGAGUCUGCGUAAGAUUAGCUUGUUGGUGAGGUAAUGGCUCACCAAGGCUGCGAUCUUUAGCUGGUCUGAGAGGACGAUCAGCCACACUGGAACUGAGACACGGUCCAGACUCCUACGGGAGGCAGCAGUGAGGAAUAUUGGUCAAUGGGGGAAACCCUGAACCAGCGACGCCGCGUGUGGGAUGAAGGGGCUUUGCCUUGUAAACCACUGUCGGAUGGGAAGAAAAGAUCCCUCGGGGAUCCGGGACUGUACCAUCAAAGGAAGGAUCGGCUAACUACGUG